UCAUCUUUAUUAUUUUAAUUGUUGGUAUCGGCGGCAGCAAUGGAUUUCAGUCCGCUCACAGACGCUUUAGCUUCCAAAUCCCACGAAAAGAUCGCUGAUAUCUUGAUGAACUUAUGCUCAAGGCUACCGCAGAGCUGGAGGAGGCUCCAUUCGAGGAAGAAUGGCCUUUUGCUAUCCAUCUUCUCUCCCAUAUUUAUGCCAACGAUAUUAACAGCGCAAGAUUUCUGUGGAAAUCAAUACCGUCAACGGUGAAAGAGAUGCAACCAGGAGUGGUUGCGGCAUGGAGAAUUGGUCAGGGGUUAUGGACGUGUGACUAUGCAGCUGUGCACGAGGCCAUCCGUGCUUUUCACUGGUCUCAACAAACUCAAUCGCUUGUUGCUGCUUUCUCAGAGAUUUACACCGAGAGGAUGUGCUUUCUGCUUAUUCAACAGUCGGCAUCCAAGAUACAGCUCUCUUUCUGGGAAUGAAUGAAGAUGAUGCUGCAAGUUGUAAGAUUCUGAUACUCCAUUCUCACUUCUUCUUUUUUUCUGUUAUGGGAUGUCAAUAUUGAUGAGUAGUGACUCUGUGCUUUGGCACUUUAAGUCAUACAGGAGUGGGAUUAGUGCUUAGUUUCAACAAUUUAGCUUCUCCAUGGUAAAAGAAGAGAGAAAAUAGAAGAAAUAGAAUUACCACCAACAAUAAAACCAUGAUAACAAUACAAGAGAAAGUGAGAGGUGCUUUCAAAAGCAUCGAUGAUUAUUGGGCCAAACAGAAGCUGGCAAGCACUGAUCAGUGUCUGACUAGAGAUUACUAGGGGGAAUUUCAAAGGAUGUCCCAACCAUCUUUAAAGCAAAUGCUCAACCAAAGAAAACUUUUCUUCAGGAAGUUCAGUUAAUGUUUGAAAAAGAAGAGAUGAACUUCUCCAGAUCUCCAAUUGGGAGCCAAUGGCUUUAUGGUUUUCAGAUUAGCACAAAAUGACGGAACCCUGGAUCUCUCGCAAUGUCAAAAGGGCGAGUGCAGCAGAAAAAUGGUUUUGUUUUUUGAAUUUCAAAAUGAGAGAACUGGAAACACCAUGCUAACUUUCUAACUUAAUUGGAAGGCGUGGGUAUAUUCGUGAUUCAAGGUCCUGUUGGUCAAAUCUUGAUAUUGAGAUUGAUUUUGAGUCUCUGAGUGGGCGGGCCUGCGGAAUAUGAUGGUAGGUUCUACAGAGAUCAUGACCUUUCCCUAUGGUGAAGGUUUAAAUUUUUUAUCACGUUAUUUCAAGCAAAGCUUCUGUCCUAAAUAGGUUAGUAAUCAGUUGAUUCUCUUGCAGUUACAACAUGAAUAGAACUUGAUUGUUGUGAACAUGAUAAGAGCUUAGGAUAGUUAAGACAUUUUGUCUUUUACCUAUUGCUUUCUGGCAUAACAAACUCGGACAUGGUCUAAACUCUUUCUGAUUUUUGUUAUCGUAUGCAGAUGUAAUGCAGCAGGGUUGGGUUGUCGAUCCUGCUUCUCGAAUGCUUAUUGUGAAAAAGCAGCCUGUUGCAACAGAGCAGAAACUGGAUCCUAGUAAACUACAGCGCUUGACAGAAUAUGUGUUCCACUUAGAGCAUUAAUAGAACUCUAAAACACUACCAACUUCUACUGAAAGUCUUCAUAUUCUGAUCACUGGUUGUGAUGAGUAAAAUCUUUUGAAGAUGUAUAGUGCUUCAAUGUGCAGCAAGGAAGCUGAAAGAAUUGGUUUGCCUUCUAAUUGAGGGUCUUCCUUUGGUUGUUUUUGCUUGGAGUUGUAAACACUUCUAUAGUUGAAACGCCAUUGAUACAGAGUGAAAAAAUUACGAGAUGAGCAAGAGGGGUCGUG
This is an RNA transcript of Populus euphratica (Euphrates poplar), 1819 nucleotides long. It is a transcript of the gene named COP9 signalosome complex subunit 8-like, with no coding region annotated. NCBI's taxonomy places the organism in Eukaryota, Viridiplantae, Streptophyta, Magnoliopsida, Malpighiales, Salicaceae. The record is from RefSeq and is a predicted model, not a curated record. The transcript is spliced from 5 exons.